This 3691-nucleotide long non-coding RNA is filed under the name Elaeis guineensis (African oil palm). RNAcentral's name for it is "long non-coding RNA (EGUI_LNC000220)". The record is from RNAcentral. Lineage: Eukaryota; Viridiplantae; Streptophyta; Magnoliopsida; Arecales; Arecaceae.
GGAGAGAGGGAGUGGUAGUACUUAAGCAGUAGAGUCUCUUGAUUGUAUCCGAUAUGAGACUUUCGGGCUCAAUGCCCCCGAUGUCCAUCCCACAACAGCUGUCAUCAAGAAACAUACUUCAUCAAGAACUUACCUGUGAACUCUAUAUGAUGAUUGAUGAGAACCUGGAUCAUUGUCUCUUCUCGUGCCCACGGAUUCAGCCAAUUUGGGUAACCUUAAAUCAAACACAUCUUGCUCAUCAUCAUGUUAACUCAUUGGCGAACAUUAUUGAUCUGUUAGCUUCUGACAUGAUGUCCGAUCAGUAGAAAUCCAUAACCUGUUACACACUGUGGUGCAUUUGGAACUAAGGAACAGCCAUAUAUUUCAAGGUUCACAGUAUUCUCACUCUACCAUUUUUUCCACGGCCCUCAGGUAUGUUUCAGAAUAUGCAUCUGCAGCGAAUAAUGCUUUCUUGUCCAAUGAUUCACAGCUCUGGAUUACCGACGGCUCUGUGAGCCCAUCCUCAUUUGUGUCUUGGGUACCCCCUCCCUCUGAUCUUGUCAAGAUAAAUUUUGACGCAUCUUGGGUGGCUGGCAAGUCUGAUCUUGGGUUCAUCAUCCGAGAUCACUACAGGGUUGUUCUAUAUGCAGCAUCUGGUAUUUCCUCUACUUCAUCCAUGCCCGAGGUUGAAUUACAGGCCGCUUGGUGUGCCAUUACCACAGUGGUUUACAAUCUUGGCUAUACACGUAUAUGGCUGGAGGGCAGUUCACUGACUGUCAUUAAUUGGAUCAGGACACAUCUCAACAAACACUGGUUUUAUAGGAAUAACACUCCGGCUGUGCCUUUGUUAUUUGAUAUGAUCCAGUGCUCUUCCAUAUUGGAUGCUUUCAAAAUCUCCCAUGUCCUACGGAAAGCUAACCAACCAGCUAAUCGUCUCGCAAGCCUUCACUGUCAUCAAGAGUUUGCCUCAACUUUCCUACUGCUGCAGUCUGAUUGUAAUGCCGUGUUUGCUGAUUUUGCUGGGACUAUUUUCCUCAAGCGCUACUUUAAUUUGAACUUCUUUUCUGCUUCCUUGGGCUUUGUCCCUCUCUUAUACCAAAAAAAAAAAAGUACAAAAAAAGGACGCACAUGAAUACGGUGAACCCGAUAGUAACUCUAUGCGGCGUACGCCUGCUUGAGCGGCUACGAGCCUGGCAUAGAACGAGAAUUUUCUUUUUUUUUUUUUUUUUGAUAAAAUAGAAUGUUGCCUUCAAAAAUACUAUUCGGUAGGAGUUCCCCGGCAUCUCUUGAGAAUCACAGCCACUCUCUGUUUCCAUGUUUAAAUCAUAUGAAGUACCUAAAGUCAAGCAAAUAAUCAAAAUUCGAAAAAACUCAUCCAAUCCAAUCCAAUAAACAUCGAUUUCGAUCAAUCGAAAGACAUAAAUCAAAUUAAAAUUUAUAAAAAUUUAAUUAUUUAUAAUCAAAUUCAAUUUCUAUAUUUUUAAACUGUAUGACAUCGAACUCAAUCGAUGUAAUAUUUCACAAACUCAUUUUUAUUUUAAAAUAAUAUUAUUUAAAUUUUUAAUAUUUCAUUCUAAAAAAAUACCAUGUCAUUCAUUUGAAUUCAUGAAAAUAUUAAUAUUAAAUUAUUAAUAAAAAUAUAUUAAUUUGAGAUAAUUCUAAAAUAAAAAUUUUUAAAUAUAGUUACUUCUGAUGAGUAAAUUUUUUUUUUUGUUUUGUUUUGCACAUAUUCAAAAAUAAAUCCAAAUUUUAUAACUUAUAAGAUUUAAAUUUUUUUUUACAUUAAAUUGAUAAAAAAAUAAAUAAACUUAAAUAAAUUAAUAUUGAACUUAAAACCUAUAUUGGAUCAAUAUUGAAACUCAAACCAACACAACCCAUCCAAAUUUGCUACAAACUAUUCACUUUGGUUUCCAACAAUUUACACAUAAUAAACAAUCGACAAUGAGUUGAAUUUUCUUCAAUCCGAUUGAAAUCAGUCAUCUAAAAUUUUUCUCAAUCUGAUCGAAUCAGAUCUAUGCUCAACCCAAAAAGUACCAAACUUUCUCUCUGAGGUUGGCAGACGGUAUUUGUUGGUGCAAGAAAGGUGAUAAAGCCGGCACCUAGGUCAUGUACAAAACCUUCAGCAUGACUUGCAAUAUUCCACUAAUCUGAAUGAAAUUUGCCUUUGUGCAAAUGUACAUGCGUUAGUUAUCUUCCAGGUUUAUAAAGACAGCAAGCUUUAUUGGCACAACGAAAUUCCCAUCCAGCUGAUGAAAAGUAGACUUAUCUAUUAUCAUUUAUUGAAUGCAUGUUUUUUAACUUACCAUUCGAUCAAACUUUGAAGAUAUUACUGGCUUUCCAAACAAACCUUUGUAACUAAAUAGCAAAUCCAAAAAAAAAACAUUCAUUUUGAUAAACUUGAAAAUUCAUGCAAGAGUCAACAAAUCACAUUAUUUUUUAUCUCUGCUGUAUAAACUACUGAAGUCACAAAAGCGACAUAAAUAGCACCAAUAUUUCGAAAUGAAUAAACCUCAUCUAACUAGCAGACAGGCCUAGUCAGGACUUGUCUACCCAUCAACUUAUUCAUGCUGGAUUUCUUUCGGGGUACAGGCAUGCUGGAUUUCAAUAAUCUCCACAAAACUGCGAUACCUUAGCUAGCAUCUUAGUGAGCAGAGUCUCGGCUGUAGUACUGAUCCAAGGUCUUUGCAGGAAUGCGAUGGAGAAGCUCACGGGGAAAGAUGCGUAGAAGUGUCCAUGCAAGAUCAAGUGAUUGGAAGAUAUUGCGAGUAUCAUAUGCCCCUUGAGUAACAAACUUCCUUUCAAACUUGUCCAGGAACUCAAGGUAUAACUGUGUUUUCAUCAAAUUAAUAAACACAAUUAGUACAAUCCAUAAGAUAGGGAACACACCUAUAUUGAUGCAGGCACAUAUCUGAAAUGCACAGAUAUUUUGAUUCUAAGAUUUAAAACAUGUAUGUGGGUUCCAAGAAUUAAAAUCUGUUUGUGUUCUUAAAUGAGAGAAACUCGUGUUUGCAUGUUAGAGAAAGAGAAAGAGACCAUGCCCAUCAAAGAAGGGGGUUCCUGCUUCAUUCAGUAUGACAUGCACAUGCAUGCAGACACACAACUACAGAGAGAGAUUACUGGAUAAUCCUUAGAUAAGCUCCCAUAUUACUCACAUGGUCAUUACUGGCAAAUCAAUCUGAAGAAUCCAGUCUUGUCUACAGGGUCCAAUGGAUGGAUUUAGUUGGGUUGUUGAACCAGCUCAUAUACCGAGCUUCUUUCAGACACCAAGCCACACAUAUAUGCAAUGAUUGCUAGACAAAACCAUUCAGAUUGAUCUAAAUGUUCAUCAAUUUGUUGGUUUAUGACCGGGACAGGUUUUCCUCAAGCAAUAGACAAAACCACAUAUGCGGAUGUGCACAUGGGAGUGCGUGUGUGUGUGUGUGUGAGAGAGAGAGAGAGAGAGAGAGAGCGAGCUUCUUUUACAACUUAGAAAAUCCAGAACAAACAUGAUUGCAUUAAACACUAGACUGACAUGAAUGACAUAAACCACACAUAUAUGCAAUGAUUGUCAGAUAAAACCAUUCAAAUUGAUCUAAGUGUUCAUCAAUUUGUUGGUUUAUGAUAGGCACGGUUUUCCUUAAGAAAUUGACAAAACCACAUGUGCGGAUGUGCACAUAGAAAUAUGUGUGUGUGUGUGUGUGUGUGUGAGAGAGAGAGAGAGAGAGAGACCAAA